This 567-nucleotide long non-coding RNA is filed under the name Homo sapiens (human). RNAcentral describes it as "PGM5P3 antisense RNA 1". Lineage: Eukaryota; Metazoa; Chordata; Mammalia; Primates; Hominidae. The record is from RNAcentral.
AAUCCAACAGGACCCACUCGAGCCAUCCACACUUGCCCCAGCCUCCUCCAAAACAGCACACUUUCCGAGAGACCGAGGGGCUCACUAGGUUGACCAGGCUGGUCUUGAACUCCUGGCCUCAAGCCAUCCUCCCACCUCAGCCUCCCAAAGUGCUGGGAUUACAUGCAUGAGCCACCACAUCCAGCCUACCUAAAAUAUUGAAUGCUGUUAAUAAAUCUCCUGAGGCCAGCAUAAGAAGGUGAUGGGCAAAACUAAUGCAGGGUUUCAGUUGUGCAAUUUCACCAUUAGCAAAGCUUUUUGCUGAAAUCUGGCUUUUCAAAGGGAGAGUAUCCAGAAACAGAAGAUGCUGCUCUGAGAGGCUCUUCCUAAUAGAACUGCUGCUUCAGUUUAGCUUGAAAAAGCCCACACCCAGUUCCUAAUGACAAACAUCUGAACACCGGGUCUUCCCACGAGCAAGACCAUGCUAUGCCUCCUGCUCGCUCUGUUCUAUAAGCAACCCACAGAUUGCUCCCUGUGAAGAGGAGCCUGCCAGGGGAGCAGCAUUCCACCAGACCCUGAUUUAGCAAG